ACUGCUCAGUAACACGUGGGUAACCUGCCUUACACAGGGGGAUAGCCUUCCGAAAGGAGGAUUAAUACCGCAUAAGAAGUAGAUAUCACAUGGUAUCAGCUUUAAAGGAGUAAUCCGGUGUAAGAUGGACCCGCGGCGCAUUAGCUAGUUGGUGAGGUAAUGGCUCACCAAGGCGACGAUGCGUAGCCGACCUGAGAGGGUGAUCGGCCACAUUGGAACUGAGAGACGGUCCAGACUCCUACGGGAGGCAGCAGUGGGGAAUAUUGCACAAUGGAAGAAACUCUGAUGCAGCAACGCCGCGUGAGUGACGAAGACCUUCGGGUUGUAAAGCUCUGUCAUCUGGGACGAUAAUGACGGUACCAGAGGAGGAAGCCACGGCUAACUACGUGCCAGCAGCCGCGGUAAUACGUAGGUGGCGAGCGUUGUCCGGAAUUACUGGGCGUAAAGGAUGCGUAGGUGGGAAUUUAAGUCAGAUGUGAAAUACCCGAGCUUAACUUGGGCACUGCAUUUGAAACUGAAUUUCUUGAGUGCAGGAGAGGAAAGCGGAAUUCCUAGUGUAGCGGUGAAAUGCGUAGAGAUUAGGAAGAACACCAGUGGCGAAGGCGGCUUUCUGGACUGUAACUGACACUGAGGCAUGAAAGCGUGGGGAGCAAACAGGAUUAGAUACCCUGGUAGUCCACGCUGUAAACGAUGGGUACUAGGUGUGGGAGGUAUCGACUCCUUCCGUGCCGCAGUUAACACAAUAAGUACCCCGCCUGGGGAGUACGAUCGCAAGAUUAAAACUCAAAGGAAUUGGCGGGGGAGCAC
This 807-nucleotide ribosomal RNA is filed under the name uncultured bacterium. RNAcentral's name for it is "bacterial SSU rRNA". It matches the Rfam family "Bacterial small subunit ribosomal RNA", at positions 102 to 924 of the family's 1533-position model. The record is from RNAcentral.